Molecule: long non-coding RNA, 394 nt
Filed under: Musa acuminata (dwarf banana)
Lineage: Eukaryota; Viridiplantae; Streptophyta; Magnoliopsida; Zingiberales; Musaceae
Description: long non-coding RNA (MACU_LNC006228)
Source: RNAcentral
ACAUGAUGGGUGCAAAGAUGUAGCUUGUCAACUACGUUUAACAGAAAGUCAACGUCUUCCACAGCAUGAAACUUUUAAGUAGAAGCAUCUACAAACACAUGAUGGGUGCAAAAAAUGUGGCUUGUCAACUAGGUUUAACAGAAAGUCAACGUCUUCCACAGCAUGAAACUCUUGAGGAGAAGCAUCCAGAAACACAUGAUGGGUGCAAAAAUGUAGCUUGUCAACUACGUUUAACAGAAAGUCAACGUCUUCCACAGCAUGAAACUUCAUGAAACUUUAAGGAGAAGUACCGACAAACAGACAUGACCUAAACAAAAACCUAGCUCGUCGAAUAUGUUAACAAGACGCAUUGAGAAGUCCUACAAAAGCAGAGGUCGUCAUGCUUUGGCCUAAG